This is a long non-coding RNA of Cephus cinctus (wheat stem sawfly), 1244 nucleotides long. RefSeq lists it as uncharacterized. Lineage: Eukaryota; Metazoa; Arthropoda; Insecta; Hymenoptera; Cephidae. The transcript is spliced from 4 exons. The record is from RefSeq and is a predicted model, not a curated record.
AUGGCCUACCGAGAAGUCAUCGAAGCGAUUAGUUCGUUGGUGGUCCACGUUUGCCGGUGUCGCAUCAAAGAUCUUAAUCAUUUAUUUGUAUCUGUCCGUCCUCUCAGCAUCGGUACCUACCUGCUAGUUCCUCAUUGUGUACUCGUCGAAUCCUCAUGAAGCGACGGCGAGCUUGCGACGGCGUUACAAGACGAUUUUAUUGGCCGAUCUCAAGAGCCCAUUACGUAAUAACUCUCCGCCAUCCGCCAUCGAUCCUAGAUCAACGAUAAACGAUCGGUAGAUACGUACCGUAAGGAUCUUUCUUUUGGUGAUCGCCGCUGCAAGAUGGCAUUGAUUACCGAUCAGUUUCCACUGCAGCGCCAUGGACUUUUUGCUUAGUCAGCUGAAAAAUCCUGAGAAAAUGAUGCCAAGCGAUAUAUCCUGCACAAGGCUGCAGGUGAUCCAUCUCCUGGAGGCCGAUGUAUGCUUAAUACCCAGUUCACACGCAGUCACGUAUAACACGCGUGCACGUACUACUUGGUGCAGUGUGUCGGUGAAGAGGAUGCACCAUGUAAAAGGUUGGGACGGUACUGUUAGAGACUGUACAUGGUCCGCGUCCCAUAUGGAUAUGUACCUGCCUACAUUCCUCCACUAGAAUCUUAACGGCUACACGUUUAUCUCUCUCGCCAUGGUAUGGCAUUGUGUGUAUAUCUAUAGUUGCGUGUAUAUAUAUGCUGCAUAUAAGAUGCAUGAUGGAUACAUUAGAGAAGAGGAUGGGAAGAAGGUGGAGAAUCUCGGAUCGGCGCUGUAUUAAUCUUAAACGCACGUCAAUAAUCAGACACAUUAUAGAUCCUUGGGAUCAAUGAUAAAAAAAAUCUCACCGAGUAUAUGGGAUACGUCACGACGUCAUAUAUCCAGAGCAGGAAUGUCACGUCUGGAACUCUUCAUAGUACCUGAUCAUUUUGUUUCAACUCUUUUAUUCAUCGAUAUCCAACACUGAUAUCUUUUAUCCGGAUGCGAAUAUACUCUGAAUGGGCUACGAGAUAGAAAUACCUAAUAAAAUAUCUCUCUGGACCAUAAUGAAAUCCUCACCCUCACGGUGCAAUGGACUCCCUCAAAGUUUAGCUAUCUCUAAUGAACUGGUAGUCCGUUGGUUAGCAGGCACAGUAUGUAUGCUUGUACAUAUGUAGCUACAGGGUGUUAGAUAGGGGAUUGGCAGCCCGUCGGGCUCCUUCGGUUCUGGAAUAGGUAGCUGUAUGUACUGA